GCUACAGGCUGUAGGUGCUUGGGGCACUCUUGGAGUUGCUCUUGGAUCCCUUGAACAAUGGGGUUUGGCCCAGGAGGGCAAUUUGUGCUGCUUUGUGGCAGAGGAGAACUUCCCAGGCUAUUUUGUGUUUGCUGUGGGGAAGGUUGGUUAUUGCUUUGCAUAAAGUCACAGACCAGCAUGGAGCGUUUGCUUUGUGAUGUCAGGGCAUGGUUGCCACGUCACAGUGGUGACAUGAGAAGGUUGCCUUGGUGCACGGAAGGCCUCAGUGUCAGAGCAGCCCUAGGGCUUGCUCAGAGCAGGAGCACCCUGCGCCUUGAGGCAUUUGUCAGUGGGCAGCUGCACACUGACAGGAGCCUUGUUUGUUCUAGUGUUGGAGCACAGCGUGCAAACUUGCACGGCAGUGCUACAAUGAUUCAGCAGCUUGCUGCUGCAGUGGUUACUGCCUAUGGAGUUACUUAUUCCAGCUAUUUUCUGACUCACCUGGCACGUCACAUAAAACAUGUAUUCAGCGGAGCUGCUCCUGAGUGCCUGAGAGGACUGGAUUUUCUUCACUCAAACCACAUGAUCCACCGAGGUCUGAAGAGCUGCAACAUCCUUCUUGGAACCAACGGCUCUGUCAAGCUGGCUGACUUUGGCCUCUUUGCUCAGCUCACUCCUGAGCAGAGUAGACAAAGCUCCGUGGCCAGCACUUCUGGGUGGAUGGCGCCUGAAGUGGUGACAGGUCAACCAUAUGGCCCCAAAGUGGACAUAUGGUCUUUUGGAAUCAUGGGCAUUGAAAUGGUGGAACGAGAAGCUCCUUACUGGAAAGAAACUUCUGGCAUGGUAAGGAGCAAAUACUGACUGAUCCCUCUGUCUUUCUCACCUGUCCCGUGUCCUGUGCGCCACUGGACAAAAUCCCGUUGCCAAAAUCUGCUGGAACUACUUCCACCAUCCCCUCCUAAAAAUGUCCCUGCAGCACAUCAGCAUCUGCUGUAGCUUUGGUUGCAUCAGAAGGGAAGUGGCAGUUCAGAAACCUAAGCAGUUCAGACACCUAACCAGUUCAGAAACCUGCCAUUUAGGCCUCCAGCCAUGCCUGAUAUUUCUCAUUUGCUUUUUGAACAGUGUUGGAGCUCUGUCUCUGAAGGACAAAAAUUUUUCAGUGGAAUGGUUGGAUGUGUGAUAAAUAUCCUUCAAAAUGGUGGUUCAAUCAUCCGAGUUUCAAUUGUAAAGCAAAAGAAAACUGGAAAUUGAAAAGGAAGAGAAAAUGGAUAAGAAAAAAAGGAAAAGGAAGAGAAAAAAAUAAAAGAAACAGAAAAAGGAAAAGGAAAAUGAAAAGAAACAGCAAAAAGAAAAAGAAAAAGAAAAAGAAAAAGAAAAAGAAAAAGAAAAAGAAAAAGAAAAAGAAAAAGAAAAAGAAAAAGAAAAAGAAAAAGAAAAAGAAAAAGAAAAAGAAAAAGAAAAAGAGUGAAAGAGAAAAAGAAAAAGAAAAAGAAAAAGAAAGAAAAAGAAAGAGAAAAAGAGAAAGAGAAAAAGAAAAUGAAAAAGAAAAAGAAAGAGAAAGAGAAAAACAAAAACAAUGAGAAAAAAAGAGAAAGAGAAAGAGAAAGAGAAAGAGAAAGAGAAAGAGGAAGAGAAAGAGAAAGAGAAAGAGAAAGAGAAAGAGAAAGAGAAAGAGAAAAGAAAAAGAAAAAGAAAAAGAAAAAGAGAAAAGAAAGAGAAAGAGAAAGAAAAAGAGAAAGAGGAAAGGAAAGAGAAAGAGAAAAAGAGAAGGAGAGAGAAAAAGAAAGAGAAAGAGAAAAUAUGAAAGACAAAGAAAUAGAAAGUGAAAAAGAAAAAGAACGAGAAUGAGAAAAAGAAAGAGAAAGAGAAAAAGAAAGAGAAAGAGAAAAAGAAAAUGUGAAAGACAAAGUAAAAUAAAGAGAAAAA
Passer domesticus (house sparrow) is the source of this 1905-nucleotide long non-coding RNA. RefSeq lists it as uncharacterized. NCBI's taxonomy places the organism in Eukaryota, Metazoa, Chordata, Aves, Passeriformes, Passeridae. The transcript has 4 exons. The record is from RefSeq and is a predicted model, not a curated record.